Molecule: ribosomal RNA, 429 nt
Filed under: Chloroflexota bacterium
Lineage: Bacteria; Bacillati; Chloroflexota
Description: Chloroflexi bacterium partial 16S ribosomal RNA
Rfam family: Bacterial small subunit ribosomal RNA
Source: RNAcentral
UGGGGAAUAUUGCACAAUGGGCGCAAGCCUGAUGCAGCCAUGCCGCGUGUAUGAAGAAGGCCUUCGGGUUGUAAAGUACUUUCAGCGGGGAGGAAGGGAGUAAAGUUAAUACCUUUGCUCAUUGACGUUACCCGCAGAAGAAGCACCGGCUAACUCCGUGCCAGCAGCCGCGGUAAUACGGAGGGUGCAAGCGUUAAUCGGAAUCACUGGGCGUAAAGCGCACGCAGGCGGUUUGUUAAGUCAGAUGUGAAAUCCCCGGGCUCAACCUGGGAACUGCAUCUGAUACUGGCAAGCUUGAGUCUCGUAGAGGGGGGUAGAAUUCCAGGUGUAGCGGUGAAAUGCGUAGAGAUCUGGAGGAAUACCGGUGGCGAAGGCGGCCCCCUGGACGAAGACUGACGCUCAGGUGCGAAAGCGUGGGGAGCAAACAGG